AUACGGAGGGUGCAAGCGUUGUCCGGAUUUAUUGGGUUUAAAGGGUGCGUAGGUGGUUUAUUAAGUCAGUGGUGAGAUCCUGCAGCUUAACUGUGGAACUGCCAUUGAUACUGGUAAACUUGAGUACUGUUGAGGCAGGCGGAAUUUAUGGUGUAGCGGUGAAAUGCAUAGAUACCAUAAAGAACACCGAUAGCGAAGGCAGCUUGCUUAGCAGUUACUGACACUGAUGCACGAAAGCGUGGGUAGUGAACAGGAUUAGAUACCCUAGUAGUCC
Molecule: ribosomal RNA, 274 nt
Filed under: uncultured bacterium
Lineage: Bacteria
Description: partial 16S ribosomal RNA
Rfam family: Bacterial small subunit ribosomal RNA
Source: RNAcentral